GGAGAACGCGGGGACAGAACUCUUGCUGCAGAGUUUCGAGCGCCGCUUCCUGGCGGCGCGCUCACUGCGCUCCUUCCCCUGGCAGAGCUUAGAAGCAAAGUUAAGAGACUCAUCAGAUUCUGAGCUGCGGCGGGAUAUUUUGCAGAAGCCCUCGGGAGGCUCGGUCACACUCUCCAAGAGCACAGCCAUCAUCUCCCACGGCACCACAGGCCUGGUCACAUGGGACGCUGCCCUCUACCUUGCAGAAUGGGCCGAGAACCCAGCAGCCUUCACUCACAGGCCAGGCCAGGAUCAGAUGGGAAGUGGAAGCUUGUCAUGACCAGAAACUGUUUCCCUACAAAGAGCACUUGGAGAUGGCAAUGCUGAACCUAAUACUGUAGGACUCACACGCGACUUCAACGGGAUUGUGAGGAUCAAGUCACUCUCAUGGGAAGAAUUUUUACAUGGGAAAGCGGAUAAAACUUUCAUUGGACUGGAAUGUUUGGAGAAUAUUAAUUUCCAAAUCAGGAACCACAAACUGCCCUCUAAUAAGACAUCGGCUAUCUAAGCGUGUGGGUGCCCCCUUUCUGCCAGCAGUUCUGGUUCUUAAGAAAAUCACCAUAAAUCAGACAUGAAAAUUCUGGCUCUAAAAAUAGCAUUUUCUUUGUGCAAAUAAAAACGUGUGUAUCAAGUAUGAUGUUCCCCCAACGUGGACACACCCGGUUCCUCACAAAGCCAAGCCCGCUGCAGCUGCCACAUCCC
RNAcentral lists this long non-coding RNA (741 nucleotides) under Homo sapiens (human). RNAcentral's name for it is "non-protein coding lnc-OTOP1-6:6". Lineage: Eukaryota; Metazoa; Chordata; Mammalia; Primates; Hominidae. The record is from RNAcentral.